ACACAGCACUCGUGCAAUCGACUUGACAAGCAAUGAAAAAGCUCCCAAUUAGCGCAGAAUCAAGUAUCGAAGCAACCAAAAAGGUAAAAAUAUAAGAAGAAAAGUAAAGAAAAUAAAGAACAAGGAAAUAACAAAAAAUAAAAAGAAAAAAGACGAUAGAAUUAGUUAUAAGGAUUUAAAUUAACCACCAGCUAGCCUUC
RNAcentral lists this long non-coding RNA (200 nucleotides) under Gossypium raimondii (Peruvian cotton). RNAcentral's name for it is "long non-coding RNA (GRAI_LNC002277)". Lineage: Eukaryota; Viridiplantae; Streptophyta; Magnoliopsida; Malvales; Malvaceae. The record is from RNAcentral.